Molecule: ribosomal RNA, 254 nt
Filed under: uncultured bacterium
Lineage: Bacteria
Description: partial 16S ribosomal RNA
Rfam family: Bacterial small subunit ribosomal RNA
Source: RNAcentral
UACGUAGGGUGCGAGCGUUGUCCGGAAUUAUUGGGCGUAAAGAGCUCGUAGGUGGUGUGUCACGUCGAUCGUGAAAACUUGGGGCUUAACUCUGAGCUUGCGGUCGAUACGGGCAUCACUGGAGUUCGGCAGGGGAGACUGGAAUUCCUGGUGUAGCGGUGAAAUGCGCAGAUAUCAGGAGGAACACCGGUGGCGAAGGCGGGUCUCUGGGCAGUAACUGACGCUGAGGAGCGAAAGCGUGGGGAGCGAACAGG